GACGAACGCUGGCGGCGUGCUUAACACAUGCAAGUCGAACGGAAAGGCCCUGCUCUUGUGGGGUGCUCGAGUGGCGAACGGGUGAGUAACACGUGAGUAACCUGCCCUUGACUUUGGGAUAACUUCAGGAAACUGGGGCUAAUACCGGAUAGGAGCUCCUGCUGCAUGGUGGGGGUUGGAAAGUUUCGGCGGUUGGGGAUGGACUCGCGGCUUAUCAGCUUGUUGGUGGGGUAGUGGCUUACCAAGGCUUUGACGGAUAGCCGGCCUGAGAGGGUGACCGGCCACAUUGGGACUGAGAUACGGCCCAGACUCCUACGGGAGGCAGCAGUGGAGAAUAUUGCACAAUGGGCGGAAGCCUGAUGCAGCAACGCCGCGUGCGGGAUGACGGCCUUCGGGUUGUGAACCGCUUUCGCCUGUGACGAGGCGUGAGUGACGGUAAUGGGUAAAGAAGCACCGGCUAACUACGUG
Molecule: ribosomal RNA, 468 nt
Filed under: uncultured bacterium
Lineage: Bacteria
Description: partial 16S ribosomal RNA
Rfam family: Bacterial small subunit ribosomal RNA
Source: RNAcentral